CCUACGGGAGGCUGCAGUGAGGAAUAUUGGUCAAUGGGCGCGAGCCUGAACCAGCCAAGUAGCGUGAAGGAUGACUGCCCUACGGGUUGUAAACUUCUUUUAUAAAGGAAUAAAGUGAGGCACGUGUGCCUUUUUGUAUGUACUUUAUGAAUAAGGAUCGGCUAACUCCGUGCCAGCAGCCGCGGUAAUACGGAGGAUCCGAGCGUUAUCCGGAUUUAUUGGGGUUAAAGGGAGCGUAGAUGGGUUGUUAAGUCAGUUGUGAAAGUUUGCGGCUCAACCGUAAAAUUGCAAUUGAUACUGGCAGUCUUGAGUACAGGUGAGGUAGGCGGAAUGCGUGGUGUAGCGGUGAAAUGCGUAGAUAUCACGAAGAACUCCGAUGGCGAAGGCAGCUUACUAAA
RNAcentral lists this ribosomal RNA (398 nucleotides) under uncultured bacterium. RNAcentral's name for it is "partial 16S ribosomal RNA". It matches the Rfam family "Bacterial small subunit ribosomal RNA", at positions 338 to 733 of the family's 1533-position model. The record is from RNAcentral.